Molecule: ribosomal RNA, 253 nt
Filed under: uncultured bacterium
Lineage: Bacteria
Description: partial 16S ribosomal RNA
Rfam family: Bacterial small subunit ribosomal RNA
Source: RNAcentral
UACGUAGGUGGCAAGCGUUGUCCGGAUUUACUGGGCGUAAAGAGCGCGCAGGCGGUCUAGUAAGUCGAAUGUGAAAGCCCCCGGCUCAACUGGGGAGGGUCAUUCGAUACUGCUUGACUUGAAGGUAGGAGAGAGAAGCAGAAUUCCGGGUGUAGUGGUGAAAUGCGUAGAGAUCCGGAGGAACCCCAGAGGCGAAGGCGGCGUCCUGGCUCGCAUCUGACGCUCAGACACGACAGCAUGGGGAGCGAACGGG